This 71-nucleotide transfer RNA is filed under the name Loxodonta africana (African savanna elephant). It matches the Rfam family "tRNA". Rfam says of the family: Transfer RNA (tRNA) molecules are approximately 80 nucleotides in length. Their secondary structure includes four short double-helical elements and three loops (D, anti-codon, and T loops). Further hydrogen bonds mediate the characteristic L-shaped molecular structure. tRNAs have two regions of fundamental functional importance: the anti-codon, which is responsible for specific mRNA codon recognition, and the 3' end, to which the tRNAs corresponding amino acid is attached (by aminoacyl-tRNA synthetases). tRNAs cope with the degeneracy of the genetic code in two manners: having more than one tRNA (with a specific anti-codon) for a particular amino acid; and 'wobble' base-pairing, i.e. permitting non-standard base-pairing at the 3rd anti-codon position. Lineage: Eukaryota; Metazoa; Chordata; Mammalia; Proboscidea; Elephantidae. The record is from Rfam by way of RNAcentral.
GCAUUGGUGGUCCAGUGGUAGAACUCUCGAUUUCUGUGCAAGAGACCCAGGUUAGACUCCUGGCCAAGGCA